Molecule: long non-coding RNA, 801 nt
Filed under: Nicotiana benthamiana
Lineage: Eukaryota; Viridiplantae; Streptophyta; Magnoliopsida; Solanales; Solanaceae
Description: long non-coding RNA (NBEN_LNC023051)
Source: RNAcentral
AAAUAAUUUUGGACCAAUUCUUUAAUGUGCAGCCCAAACAUACGCCCAUCCGUCCAGGCCCAACACCACCUCCCAGUCCAACCCCAGACCCAGCCUGCCCCCUAGUGAACGAAACGACGUCGCUUUGUCGCUACUAGAUCUAGGCCGUCGAUGUUUUAUGAUCUAACGGCUCAGAAGCUGGGGUGCACUUAUAUAUAACCUUUAGAGACCAAACAUGAAUCCUAAUCAGCCGCCACCCAAUCCUCACCGUCUCCGAUGGCGGCGCCGCCUCCAUUCACCCCCAAAUUCACACCACCUCUUCUAUUUCCUAUCCUCAUUCCAUAUCUAACUUUGGUUUUCUUCAAAUCAAACCGAGGCCUCUCGAAUAUUGAUUCAAAGAUUAGGCUCAGAAUACAAAAUCAUCCAAACGACCCCAAAUCGCCACCAGAGGAUCUAUCCAUCGUCCUCACCUCAAAUCCAUGGCUAUUCUGCUUCAAAUUUCAACGGUUCGCGCUCAGGUCCCCAUCUAGGGUUCGUCAGUCAGCCUCGUCUGGAAUUUUUCUCUUAAGGUAAGUUUUCUUCUAGUUUUAUGACUUUAUUAGUACACUUAAUAAUCUCUUCUUCCUCUUCUCCUCUGUUAAUUGGGUCGUAGAGGGAUUUUAGUUGUGAGUUCGUUUCUUCAAUCUUUCGUUUAUUUUCUUGUUCAUCUAGUUUCUUAGCAGUGGGUUCAGGAAAUUGUUGUUUGCUCAAUUCAAUGCUCUUCGAUUUGUUUCAAUGAUUAAUUCUGUUUAGUUAGUAUAAUUCAACUCGAUUAGAUUUUGU